RNAcentral lists this ribosomal RNA (366 nucleotides) under uncultured Geobacteraceae bacterium. RNAcentral's name for it is "bacterial SSU rRNA". It matches the Rfam family "Bacterial small subunit ribosomal RNA", at positions 466 to 831 of the family's 1533-position model. Lineage: Bacteria; Pseudomonadati; Thermodesulfobacteriota; Desulfuromonadia; Geobacterales; Geobacteraceae. The record is from RNAcentral.
GGUUUGACGGUACCUAUAGAGGAAGCACCGGCUAACUCCGUGCCAGCAGCCGCGGUAAUACGGAGGGUGCAAGCGUUGUUUGGAAUUACUGGGCGUAAAGCGCGUGCAGGCGGUCUUGAAAGUCCCGUGUGAAAUCCCUCGGCUUAACUGGGGAAUGGCGCGGGAAACUCCAAGGCUAGAAUACGGGAGAAGUCAGCGGAAUCCCUAAUGUAGCGGUGAAAUGCGUAGAUAUUAGGAGGAACACCAGCGGCGAAAGCGGUUGACUAGCCCAAUAUUGACGCUGAGACGCGAAAGCGUGGGGAUCAAACAGGAUUAGAUACCCUGGUAGUCCACGCUGUAAACGAUGGAUACUAGGUGUUGCGGGUA